AGCAGUUUUAAAUUUGUAAAGUUCACAUUAUGUUUUUUUCUUUUCUGGAUCAUGUUUGGUGUUGUGUGUUAAAAUGCACCACCAAACUCAAGGUCACGUAGAUUUUCUUUUAUGCUAUCUUUUUGAUGUUUGACAGCUGUGGUUUUAAGUUUACAUACAAUGUUGAGUGACUUUGGGUGGAAGUUGUAAAAGUUUUGCCACAUAUUUCAUUUCAUAUCCUAUGGGUUCCAAUUCCUUGUUCCUUAAGUAUUUCGGGAGGAGCCCAGAUAUUGUAGCACAUGUCAGUGAACCAUUGCGAAGCUUCUAGGACUCAGCUGGAGCUUGGAAGGAGGCAGGUGGGGCCCUGGCAGUGAGGACCCCGCUCCUGCAGGACUCCUGCGGUGCCUGACCACCUGCAGGGGGCGCCCGAGCGCAGGCGCUGCCCCAGGGGGCUGGCAGAUGCAGGGGCCCUUGUCCACCUGCAGGAACAGGAGCCCCCGCGCUGGGGAGGCUUGGGGAGCAUGUGGGGCCGCGGCCACUGUGACAGCAGCCCCGGCAUCUGCAGGCCCUGGGGUCCUGAGUAUGGGGGCUGAUGUAGGGCCUGACAAGCCUACAGAAAUUGGCAUUUCAGGACCCGCUGUGGAGGCUUCUGGAGGCAUUGGUCGGGUCCAUGCCGACAUCAGCAGGGACUCUUCAAAAUCACAAGUGACGGGACAGCAUCAUCCCAAGGGUCCUAUGGAGACCAUACCCGGCGUGCCUGAAACAGAGGGGACCGAUCAGCGCUAGGGACAUGGGGAAAGGAGGGAGCAAAAUGGCUCCUCUCCCCUGAAUCCUGAGGGAGAUCAGGACCCUCUGAGAUUGGCCGGGAAUGAGGGGAAGGGCCUUUCUGCCCAAUGGGAGCAGCCUGACAGCCUUACCUGCUUCUCCGCGAGAUGAUUCCCACCUGGGCCUGACCUGACCUGGUGACCGUGGUCACCACAUGGGCUCAUUGGCAACUGAUGACUAUGAGCCAAGAUUGACUCUCACUUCUACUGAUACCCGAGGCCCGUCCCCAGGAUCUCAUUUGUUCUUGGUGACUGUGGUCCUUGUCUGGGCUGAACUAACUCAUGCUUGGCUCAUGCUUGGCUCUGAUCCCCUCCUGGGCCUCACCUGUUCUUGCAGAUGUGGUCCCCACAUCUAGUGGGUGCUCUAGUGUCUAUGGUAUUUGUCUGGGCUUCAGCUGAUCUGAUGGUAUUCGGCUCUGAUAUCAGCCCUUUCCAAGGCCAGCAGGGUCUCCAGGUCCUCCUGCCUGGUGCUGCAAACCACACACAUCCAAGGAUGACACCGCAUGAAAACCUUCAGAGGACACAUGCGUCUGUGUGCUCCCUGUGGGCAGGUCCCCAUCUGUCUGACUGGAGGGUGGAGACAACACAGUAGCUCUGAGGGGGACGUGCUGGACUGGAGGAUCACUCAGGGACACUCACUGUCUGUAGCUGGCCCACCUGCAGUCCACCUUCCCAGCCACUGUCCCAGGACAUGCCGUCAUGCUGAGAGGACAGAGCUCUCCCACCCCCCUUAUCAGUAGCACAAGGGGGCCCAUGAGGCUGCGGGGAGCUGCUGACCUGAUCCUUGGGGUGAUGUUUCCCAGCCCAGGGCUGGCCCCGAGAUGGCGGUGGAUGUGCCUGCCAGAGAGUGUUCCUGCGGACUUGGGGCAGACCGAAGGUUUCUCUUAGAUUCCACAAGCAGAAAGACCAAAGGGAAAAAGCAAUGAACUGGACUUCAUCAAAAUUAAAAACUUAUGCCAGCAAAUGUGUGACCAAACUACCCACCUUGAAUGCAAUGAUUUGUGAAUAGCUUGAGGAGGGUUAUGCGGGAGCACGAGGGACUCCAUGUUCCAGUUUGUGAAGAUCAAGCCUGCUCAUGAGCCAGAAGGACCAAGAGAGCCCUGACCAUACACCCCGGACCACAGCGUGGGGGGAUUGGUCAUCACAUGUUGGGGUCCAUGCACCUAAGACGGACUGGAAAGGUCAUGGCUUGACCUGUUGCCUCCUGCACAGAACAGGGCUU
This 2025-nucleotide long non-coding RNA is filed under the name Canis lupus familiaris (dog). RNAcentral's name for it is "lncRNA (ENSCAFG00040019388.1)". The record is from RNAcentral. Lineage: Eukaryota; Metazoa; Chordata; Mammalia; Carnivora; Canidae.